Non-coding RNA from Cerioporus squamosus, 108 nucleotides. The record is from the annotation of a GenBank genome assembly. NCBI's taxonomy places the organism in Eukaryota, Fungi, Basidiomycota, Agaricomycetes, Polyporales, Polyporaceae.
UCUCUGUUAGUAUAUCGAUUAGUACAUGCGCCUGUCACGAUGUUGUACCUGCGUACCUGUCUCCAGCUGUGUCCGCGCGAAAGCGGGGUUCGACUCCCCAACAGAGAG